UAAGCCAUAAACAUUGAUAAGCCAUCAUACAAUGCUUUCCGCCAGAGAACUACAAGUGAAAAACUUGAAACUCAAAGGACUUGGCGGUGUCCCAUAUCGACCUAGAGGAGCCUGUCCUAUAAUCGAUACCCCUCGCUCCACCCAACCUCCACUAGCACAUCAGCCUAUAUACCGCCGUCGACAGUCUACCCCAUGAGGGUCUAAUAGUAAACAAAAAAGCUUGCUCGCUAAUACGUCAGGUCAAGGUGUAGCUAAUGUUGAGGAAGAGAUUGGCUACAUUUUUUAUUAUAAAAAAUACGGAAUGUAAUAUGAAACCCUACAUGAAGGUGAAUUUAGUAGUAAAAUAGAUAAGAGUGUCU
RNAcentral lists this ribosomal RNA (359 nucleotides) under Omanosaura jayakari. RNAcentral's name for it is "partial 12S ribosomal RNA". It matches the Rfam family "Bacterial small subunit ribosomal RNA", at positions 796 to 1359 of the family's 1533-position model. Lineage: Eukaryota; Metazoa; Chordata; Lepidosauria; Squamata; Lacertidae. The record is from RNAcentral.